RNAcentral lists this ribosomal RNA (475 nucleotides) under uncultured bacterium. Its description in RNAcentral is "bacterial SSU rRNA". It matches the Rfam family "Bacterial small subunit ribosomal RNA", at positions 28 to 502 of the family's 1533-position model. The record is from RNAcentral.
GACGAACGCUGGCGGCGUGCUUAAUACAUGCAAGUCAACUGAACUUUAGGUAGCAAUAUUUAAAGGGAGGUGGCGCACGGGUGAGUAACACGUAGGUAAUCUGCCUUCAGGACUGACAUAACUCCGCGAAAGCGGGACUAAAAUCAGAUGAUGCAGCGGCUCGACAUCGAGACAGUUGUUAAACCUUCGGGGCCUGAAGAUGAGCCUGCGUCUGAUUAGGUAGUUGGAGGGGUAAUGGCCCACCAAGCCUGCGAUCAGUAGCUGGUCUGAGAGGAUGAUCAGCCACACUGGAACUGAGACACGGUCCAGACUCCUACGGGAGGCAGCAGUAAGGAAUAUUGCUCAAUGGCCGAAAGGCUGAAGCAGCAACGCCGCGUGGAGGAUGAAAUACUUUAGUAUGUAAACUCCUGUAAGAGGGGAAAAAUAUACAGUUCUGCUGUAUUGAUUGUACCCUCAGAGUAAGCACCGGCUAACU